GUUACAGAUGUCCAGACUCCAAAUGCCAGUUCCUUCUGGGUGUUCAGCCACUGUGUUAAUCCUCUGUGGGGACCUGCUACUCGCUGCUCUGGUGAGGUGUUCCGCCAGGGCAAUUUCCUACCUGGGAGCACUCUUUGGAUCAUGUAACUCAGGCUGGCUGGAGUCCCCCGCAGAGAUGCUCCACAGGGCAGGCUUAAGCCACCUGAGGGGCUGCCUCAGCUGCCCAUCAGUUACCUCAUUUCCCAGUCAGAGAACCAAGAAAUGUAGCAGGACAAUCCGCAGAAAAAAACCUCUCAGACACUGAGUUGUAGAAGGAAGGGCUUUAUUCAGCUGGGAGCAUCAGCAAGCUACUGCUUUAAAAUCCGAGCUCUCCAAAUGCACGAUUUCUGUCCUUUUUAAAGGCUCACAACGCUAAAGAUUUCACAUGAAAGGGUCAGAUUGAUUUGAACAAGCAAGGGGUAUGUGACAGGGGCUGCAUGCACCAGUGGUCAGGGAGGAACAGAACAGGGCGGGGAGUUUCACAGUGUUCUUCUAUACAAUGUCUGGAAUCUAUGAAUAACAUUGAUUUUUAAGUUAUGAGUUGAUUUUUAACUACUAGGUUUAGGCCAGGCAGGCCCAGGGCUGGUUUUGGGCCUGGCGCCAGGCUGCCUGUCUUUGAUUUCACUUCCUUGUUUUUUUCUUAAAACAGGUACUGAGUAUAAAACAAUAAAACAAUAUGAGAGGGUCUCUCUCUUCCCUCACCAGAGGGGGCCAAAGUUUUAUGAGACAUCUCCUCAUCUGUGCACAGAUGGGUGGCGGACUCUGGAGUCCAGGCUGUUGCUUCCCAUUCUAGUGGUGAAUCUUCCAUAGUCUGGUAUUGUUGUCUCUAACCCAGACCUGAUCACCUGGCUACAGCAAGGAAAAGAAACUUUGACCAUGAAGAGACAGGUGAUGAUUGCCAAACACACAGAUGGACUCACAGCCUGUCACCCAGGCUGGAGUGCAGUGC
RNAcentral lists this long non-coding RNA (988 nucleotides) under Homo sapiens (human). Its description in RNAcentral is "HSALNT0396581". The record is from RNAcentral. Lineage: Eukaryota; Metazoa; Chordata; Mammalia; Primates; Hominidae.